This 465-nucleotide ribosomal RNA is filed under the name uncultured bacterium. RNAcentral describes it as "partial 16S ribosomal RNA". It matches the Rfam family "Bacterial small subunit ribosomal RNA", at positions 28 to 507 of the family's 1533-position model. The record is from RNAcentral.
GACGAACGCUGGCGGCGUGUUUAACACAUGCAAGUCGAACGGAAAGGCCCUGCUUGCAGGGUACUCGAGUGGCGAACGGGUGAGUAACACGUGGGUGAUCUGCCCUGCACUUCGGGAUAAGCCUGGGAAACUGGGUCUAAUACCGGAUAGGAGCCAUUUUUAGUGUGAUGGUUGGAAAGUUUUUUCGGUGUAGGAUGAGCUCGCGGCCUAUCAGCUUGUUGGUGGGGUAAUGGCCUACCAAGGCGGCGACGGGUAGCCGGCCUGAGAGGGUGGACGGCCACAUUGGGACUGAGAUACGGCCCAGACUCCUACGGGAGGCAGCAGUGGGGAAGAUUGCACAAUGGGCGCAAGCCUGAUGCAGCGACGCCGCGUGGGGGAUGACGGCCUUCGGGUUGUAAACUCCUUUCGCUAGGGACGAAGCUUUUUGUGACGGUACCUAGAUAAGAAGCACCGGCUAACUACGUG